CAGCAGCCGCGGUAAUACGAAGGGUGCAAGCGUUAAUCGGAAUUACUGGGCGUAAAGCGCGCGUAGGUGGUUUGGUAAGAUGGAUGUGAAAUCCCCGGGCUCAACCUGGGAACUGCAUCCAUAACUGCCUGACUAGAGUACGGUAGAGGGUGGUGGAAUUUCCUGUGUAGCGGUGAAAUGCGUAGAUAUAGGAAGGAACACCAGUGGCGAAGGCGACCACCUGGACUGAUACUGACACUGAGGUGCGAAAGCGUGGGGAGCAAACAGGAUUAGAUACCCCGGUAGUCCCUGUCUCUUAUAA
This 301-nucleotide ribosomal RNA is filed under the name uncultured bacterium. RNAcentral describes it as "partial 16S ribosomal RNA". It matches the Rfam family "Bacterial small subunit ribosomal RNA", at positions 509 to 809 of the family's 1533-position model. The record is from RNAcentral.